UUCCAGAAGCCGCCGCCUCAGCGCGGCCCCGCGCGCGCGGCGAUGUUUGUCACGAACGGAACCGCGGCCGCGUGGGUUUCCAAUGAACAGCCCCAAAACUGAGCGCAGGGCGGUUUGGACUGUAAAUCCUUUCGCCUACCGCUAACAGUGCUGCUUCUAGAGCAGUUGGAGAGUGAGCGUGCUGCUGCUCUUGUGUGCUAGGACUGGCAUCUGUGGCACGGUUUAUUCAAGAUGAUAAGCAGCAUUUGAAACCUCGACCUUGUGCUAAUGGAAGGUCUCAGCUGCUAGGAAUUUACAUCUCCUGUGGCAGGUGUUAAUUGUGGUGAGACUAAAGAGCAGCUCCACUGCAGUGCCUCUUUCUCUGUGUUGAUGGAGUGGUUGGAUCAGAGCAACUUGAAGAACAGGAACAAUCCAGCAGUGACCUCAUCAUAUAUAUACCUUAGGACUUGGGCAGAUAAAAAGAAGCACAGGACUACUUGAGCAGUCUUCCCACACCAGCCUCACUAUAAAACCUCGUGCGAGCAGCACACUGAAGGUAAAGUCUCUUCACGAGUACUACCAGUAGGGGGGAUUGUCUCCAGCAGAUCUAGUAAUAGCAGUGUGAUGAAGAGGCAGACAAAGGGGAUACUGUUAUUCAUGCUUUAUUUGGUACAAACAAUGCAUUUUAAUCUGCCUGCCAGAAAUUAAGCCCGAUUGAGUCAUAACUGUUGUGAGCUUGGAUGCCUGAAUUGUUCCUCGUGUCUGAGCUAGCCUUUUCUUCCCGUUUCUGCCAAUCUGAUUUGCAAUCCAAAGGGAUUUGUAGUGUUAACAUAAGUACAUUGAAUAGGGUUUGACUAAUUCAGUCUCGGUUGAAAAUGUGUGUGUAUGUAAUGGGAUAUUUCUGAGAAGAACCCUCUUGUAUUGUGCACUUCUGAGUACAAGGUUUGUUUGAAUGCUGCCGUAGUCUUAAUUGAACAUCAUAGCCUUGUCUUUGAAGCACUGAUCUAAUAAAGUCUAAUGCUGAGGAUAGGCAGCCAGUUAAAUGUGCAACAAGCACAAUCUCUCAAACCGGUCCAAUCACUCCAAUAGAGAUCAGGCUUUCAACCUCAGAUUUUUAAACAGUAGGAAAGAACCAAUAUUUUAAAAGUCCUUGUUGUUGUCAAGUGUCAGAAUUAAUAGACACCAAUAAAUGUUUUCUACAGUCGAAACAGGGGUAGGAACUGAUUGUGCUGAUUUAGCUUGUAACAAUGACCUGUAUGGUCUUUUAUUUUCAGUCCUUUAAUUCCUCUUCUGUGAUAUGUUUGGUUUGCCUAAUUAGACUGAAAGCACAUCAGGGUAAGAUCUGUGUCUGUGUUCUAUGUAAUUCCAAGUCAACAGAACUCUGCUUUGCACCAAGGUCUUUAUACAAUGAUAAAACAUAACUAUUUUCAAGAGCAAUUAGUGACACAAGCUUUGAGUGGGAAGUCAUAGCCUGGCCUGAGAAGAAGGAAUUCUUACUGCUCUUCCCUAUCUGCUAAUUAAUAUUUUCUUGAAAAUGAAGAAACUAAAGUUUUUGCAAACGUUAUAAACAUUCAGAACGUUUGUGUAGCUCAGGCAGACUGUGAAGCACAUAGAUAGUGAGCAGUGCAGUUACAUCUAUUUGAAAAUCAGAUCAGCUUUCUGAAUAGCUAUGUAUUUCAACAGAACCACAUGAGUUGGUACACAGUAGAUUAGUGAUUCUUUGACCUAGCUAUGCCAGAGUAAGCCAUCAGCCCCAGUUUGGCAAUGACUUCAGUGUGUGUAUAAUUUUAAGCACAUAAGUAAUUCCAGUCAGGCAGGCUUGUGUUUAAGUGCAUUGCUGACUAGGGGAUUUCUGGCUCCUAUAGCUGUUCAGAUCAUGGCUCCCAGAAGUCUUUCACCAAAUUUAACGGCAUUUUUUCUUUACUCCCUUGUGGUGGAAAGGUGGUUGUCUGCUUUGCUGUAUAAUCACGGGCAGAAAGUGUGCUUCAGCUACCAUCAUGUGAGAAUCUAUCACUUAUGCAUUGCAUAGAUAAUUUGGUGGGGAUAAACAGCCUAAGGGUAACUAAGAGGCUAAGCAGUGUAUAUUGCUAAAACUGAAACACACAGCAACCUAGCUAGUUGGCAGAAAUUUUACACAAGCUUUUCUAAAUUUGGGUGUAUAUUUCCAAAGUUCAGAAGCAGACAGAGCUCAAACUGGGCAAUGCAAAGAUGUGUUAGAAGUUGAAGGGUCCUUUCCAACUCAAAGCAUUCUAUAAUUCUAAAUGGAAUUGCUUUUGCAUGUGGAUUGGGAAAAAGAUAUGUACUCCCCUAAGAAUUAGUACAGUAAAUAGAUCUACAUCAGCUCCAUUACAAAUAAGAGAUAAAUAGAGCCCAGGACUGCAAAAGGGGAGAUACAGCAGCUUAACUCCUCAGGGAAAGGAAGGACUAUUUGGGACAAUGAUAGGUAGGGAAAUGUAUUUAUGUCUUUGUGUUCCUUGUCUUGAAUUUUUAAAAAUCUGUCCUUUGCUGUACUGCACACUAACCUAGAUGAGUGAGGGAGUUUCUCCCUUCCACUGAGCAGUGAUGCAUCAGAUCAUUUAUUUUUAAUCACUUGUGCUAGGAAAUGUCUACAGGCCGUCUUCCACUCCGUCCUUGACUGUGGAAGAAUCAGACUAUAAUAGGGAGAAAUUACUGUAUUAUGGUGCAGACCCUCCCUUGUAUUUUAAUGACAUCUAUCCCUUGAAGAACAGAUUGUCCAGCCUGGCCCAGGUCACAGUGCAAGAAUGACAAAACUAACAUUAAGCUUGCUCUGCCUAAGAGGCUGUGCUUUCACUGUUUACCUAACAAAAGUGCAUUAUACAAACUUACUUGCAGUUUCAUUAAAUGUAUAUCUCAUUCCUUCUUGUUUUGAAGCAUGCUUUGCCUGUACCAUUGAGGUUCUGGGACAUGAGCCCACUUUUACAACAGUCCUGUGCAGUGCUAGGUUUUCCAAACCACAGACCCUGCGUGCUUCUGGAAAGAAUGAAAUUACAUAAAAUUCUUUCUUGUCUUCUGGAACUUCUAAGUUACUCCAGCAUGAUCCUUCUAUGAGGCAAGCUGUUCCACAGUUGACAAAAAAGAAUUUCUUUCACGUCUUGCUUAAGCAUUUGAGACUGGUAACUUGUUGAAGUGGAAUUACAAGGGUCAUUGGUAGAUCAGUACAGGUAACUCUAAGUGUGUAAAGAAUUGCAUGGGCCUUUCAGUUAUCUGUAAUUAUAGAAGGCAACUUCAAAUCAGUGGUGACCUGCUUAGAUAAGCUCCUUAUGGCCUCAGGCACCACCCUCCUGCUACAUGCUAGCCAGCUUUGUCAUUCUUUCCUAGCUCUAGGCCAUACUUUCAGCACUUCCUCCAGGAAGCAGGAAAAGCCACGCAUAGUUGAGGAACAUUGUCAGCUGCUGUUGGUCUUCUCUGUUAGAAAAUCCACAGCUGCUCCCAGAUGCAGCCCUCACAUCUCUUGCAAAGCAGCAAGAAGUGGGAUGCAGUUUAUGGCAAGUUUUCGUGGCUCCUGUAAGAGAAAUGGGAGCGUGUAGCUUGGGUUUCACCAGGCAGUGCAGCCUGAUACUGCCCUCUUUCUUUCCUCGGUUGUGCAGUCCUGCAGUUAAGCCUUCUGUUCACUCUUUAGAGUUAGAUCAGGGUGAUCUGAAGGGAGGGGUGAAAGAGUCUGGGGCAUGGCUGAGACACUGCUCAUGGGGAGAGGUUGGACUGACAGGUGACACCAGUUGCCUUCUGAUACCUCAGGAGGAGAUCAUGUUCUUCAGAUCCAGAAACAAAUAGCGUCUCUGCUGAUUACCUUGUCCCAUUGCCAGGAUGAAUCUAUAACUAGUGAAUGGCUUAGUAAUAGGAGUUGCAGAAGGGCCCCAGGAGUCCAAGCAGGUGGUACAGCUAGUGAUGACAGGCUCAGUCUGCAAGAACAGCAUGUGUGCUGGAGAUAGCCAGGGAGAACUCCUUUUAGCAGGAGCUGGGCAGGCUCGCUGUCACAUGGGCACUGGCUCAGCAGUACAGUCUGAGCUAGGAACAAACUCUUCUGAACUUGCAAAUUGAACCUGAUUGUACAGCAUAUUGACUACCUUUCCUGUAUGUCUUCUCACAGCUGUUUCCCACCAAAUGGGAGAACAAGACUCUCCAGACUUCCUAAUCUGACAAUGCAUUUGAGAUUGGCACAAAAACUGGGCAUAGAUUGUUUGAAUACUUGAUAUGAAGUGCUCUCUUCUUGCUAAUGCUAUUUCUGUUACACUCUUCCUUCAGAGUGUGAUUUAAGAGGACUCUGAUAGAAAGGCAGUGCCGCUUGCUGACUCUGCAGUAGCUUGUGCAGCAUUACGAAUGCAGCUUAAUUCCCCUGUGAAAAGAUCCGACACAACCAAUCUCCAUGAACUCUUCUCUCUUGAUAGGAACACAAGUGGAGAGGUUGAUUCAUAAUAGUUAAGAAAUUGGGAUUAAAAGCAGACAGGCUUAGCCCAAACUGUUUUGCUCAGAGGCUGUCACUGCAGCUUAUAAUAUACAACUUAAUUACUAGAGAACAUCAUUUCUGCAAGUGAAAGCAGUUUCCAGGGCAGAGAAGCUGCUAUAAAUAUAGUUCUAAAUUCUACUUAAAUACAGGAGUUGAAACACUAUAUAAAAGAGCAAAAGUGCUGUCCUAUUUUUGGCAGCACUUCUCAAUAGUAAGGCCAUUGUCACCCACCUGAUCUCAUGUGUCAUCUAGAAACAUGAAGUGAGGAACAAGACAGAAGGUAUUUUCUCUUAAGUCCUCUUUCUUCAGCAAUGGCAUCUUUGGGUUAGGGCACAUGAAAAUAUGUUUCUAUAAGCAGUCCUAUUUUAUAUCUUAGAUACUGUGUUAACACAAGGCAAAAUUGCAGGAAACUCAUCUUUCCCCUUACUCUUAACUCUUUAUACUGUAUACAUGCUGUACAGUGGAGCUCAGGUUCAUAGUAUGGUUGUGAAUGGUGUGUGGUGUUUGUUUUUUGUCAUUCUGGCUACUUGGUCUAUAUUAAACUUUUUUUCAUCAUAGUAAUUGAAAUAGUAUUACUGAUGGAAUUUUAGCACUGAAUUUUCUUGGAUUUUUUCAAACAUUACAUUCCUGUUGGUGUUUAAGAAGCAUUUGAACAAUGCACUUAUUAAAGUUCUUGAAAUUUUGGUUAUCCCUGAAGUGGUUGGGCAACUAGACUCACUGAUCUUUGUAGGUACCUUCCAAAUGAACUAUUUCAAUUCAGCUGACUGAUGACUGGGAAAAUGUGUUCCAGCACAGCAACUGUGGACUUCCACUUUUUUUAAUCAGAGAGAGCAAGACUACUAAAGUUUGUCAUUUCUACAUUGUAUGUGCUAUGGGGAUACUGCUUUCAUUGCACAACUACAAAGUAAUGGUCAUUCUCUGCCUACAAACUCUGUUAACAGGAAAGUACUACAAUGUUCCAGCUCUGGAUUUGCUUUUUUGUCCUUUUUUGGUUUGUGCUUGUGGUUUGAGUUAUCAUUUGUUUAAUAUUUUAUCUCACAAUGUGAGGUUUCUUCAGCAUUUUGAGGUCUUACUGUCACAUUCCUGUGUAGCAGAUCUUUUUUUCAGUGCUUAUUGGAGUGUUUUGUUUCUGCCCUGGUCAACCAACAGUACUUAACAUCUUUGAAUAAAAGAACAUAAUACAGAAGUUUUAGCAGAUAAACAAAUCUAUGAGAAGUGAAAAAAAAAGUCAAGGUCACAAAGCUGAAUCCAUGGAAUUACGUAGUGUUGUGAAGCUGAAUGUCACUGUGGUUAAUUUUUUAGACUGUGGGCACCAGGGCAUAAUGCAUGCCUCUGAGUUUUAGGCACCUGUACAAUAAAUGUGGUGUAGAAUUACCCAAAGUAGCUCAAGCAGUAGAAGAAAGAUGCUUUAGCACUGGGUAGUCUGGUUACUUUUCAGUGUAAAAUAUCAGAGUUUUGUGCUCUUGACUGACUCACACUGCUUGAGACUGGAGAGGGGCUCUUGUUUUCUGCUGUUGCAUUGUAUUCAAACCAAGGCUCUCUGGGCUGAGAGGGUGAAGGUGCAGAAAUAAGUCAGUAAUUGAAAGAUUCAGACACUUGUGGGACAGAAGACUCUUGUUUGUGGUUUCAGCCCUAUUUCUGACAUACACAAUAUCUGUUAUAAUGGCUGUUAAGCACUUCUACUUAUUUCUGCCAGACUGAUUUUUUUCUAGGUAAAAUGUUGAUUAAAAUGGAGAAAAAAUGGAGUACUUAACCUUUUCCCAUUCCUCCUCAUCUCAGCUUUGCUAGUAUGCACCUGCAGGUCAUUAGGUGCAGUUAAGUAAAUGAACCGGCCGGUAGAAGUCGAUGUAGGCAUUUCCUAAGCUAGAACAUGUUUAGAUAGACUGUAACAUAAAUUAUCAAGAGUAAUAUAGUUAUUUGUUUUAAAAUCCAUUUCCCUGGGAGAGUGUACAGCAGGUCUUCCUGUGUGCUCCUGCUGCUUAGCUUUUGUGUUUAUUUAGAUCAUGAAGAAAGUAGCUUAUGGCUUGUAGGAGCUAAGCUCUACCUUUUCUACAGGUCGUGCUUUUGGUUUGCUUCCUUGAUUAAGAAAAGUUUUACUGAUUUAGCUUAGAAGUGCAUCUAACCAGGCUUAGUACACAAGCUUCAGUAGUCAUACAGGUAGUUAUUUCAGUUUAAGCCUAGCAAGAAUAACACAUACAAACAAGAAGCAGUGAGGGUCAUGCAGUCUUCUGUACAUUUAAAGUCCAUUGAUUUAAAUUAGUGAAAGCAUUUUUAUUAUGAGCAUUGCAUUGUCUGAGUCAAAUGCUAUCGACUGAAGAAGGAAAACUGACAGUAUUAGUACCUCACAAGUAGCAUGGGGUGCCCUAUUAGUAAUGCAGUAGUGAAGAACUGGGAAUUAAAUUUCCAGAGAGGCUGCUGCAAUUCUUCCAGCAAUUUUCUCUAGUAGAGAAUGGGAGUAAAACUAAAUUUGGUUUUGUCCAGAAGAAUUUGAAUUAUGCUGCUUACAUAGGAUCUCAAUAGCUAGAGGCUGCAACACAGCAGCUUAACACCCAUUAACUGAAAGCUAUUUGUAAGAGCUUCCUUCUCAAAUUUAACUCUGAAGUAACCAGAAGUCUACGGGUUUUCAUACAUUUAUUUACUAGAAUUCCUAUUACAGAUCACUGCCUUCUAAAACCACUUCUGGAAGAGCAGUCAGCAGACUGUUCUCCUUAGAGCUGUACUCAUUCACUACCUGUUUCAAAACAAGUCAGUGCCUGAACAUUGCUCUCUGGCAUCCGAGCUUUCUGCUUUCAUGUAUGUAAGUUACUGCACGUGGUAAUGUAAGGAUAAAACAGCAUAAUGCAAAGUCGGAAGGCUCUGCCCGCUAAGGGAGUGUGCACAAUACUUGGUUGGCAUACACAGCCUCAUAAGCUUUUCAUAUACUUUCUAAAUGGGCGCUUAAUUUCUAGCAUUGGAGUCAGUAUGUGAUUUCUAGUGCUGAUCAUUCCAGCAGCGUUGUUGAGCUGUUUUUGUACAGAAACACUACUGUAUGAAAGAAAACAGUGAUAUAAAACAUGCAUAAUUCAUGUGGUGUCUCCCCUCAGCCCAACAUAGCAGAAGUCACAGUUUUUUCUUGGAAGCAUUCUGUGUUGUUCCAAACAGCUAUAUUGCUGAGUCGAUUGUCUCCUAUUCCUAGCAUAGAAACCAUUAGCAACUAAUAUUGUAGUUUUUUCUCUCUCAAUUUUUUUUAAUCGAUUGGUCCAAUGUUUAGCUUGCAGCCAUCAUUAAAGUGCCAGUUAGAAAGCAUUACGUAAAGUAGGUGGCAACUGUUAAAUUCAGAAAAGGUAAUUGAAAAGGCCUCGAUACUGUUGUAACUGGACAAUGUACUCACAAAGUAAUUGGGAAAGAGUGCAUACAAGUUCGGUGUGUAUAAAGUUUUACAAUAGAUAGAGGAUUUGGUGUUUGGUUUUUUUGUAGCUUGUUUGCAUUCCCAUGAUACAUACCCCAAGAUUUCCUUAGCGUGUGCAAAGGAUGACAAGUGUCAGUACUUCAUACAACUAUAUUUAAUAAGUUAUUACAGAAAAAAAUAAAGUCCAAACUACAAAGUUUAAGCAGUUGUAAGCAAUAGCAGCAUUAAGCUCCAUGUUUAGUCACAGUACUGCAGUUCCAUACAAGCAUUAGUCCAAGCCAAAAAGGAAGAAGCCUUGUUAGAAUUACUAGCAAAACAAUCUAAGAGAACAUGUAAUAAAAGAUACAGUACAUUUAAAAUUAGUUGAAAAACAAGUACAGAGAUCUUAGCUGUGAAUGCGCUAAAAGUUAUGUCCAUUACUUUGACAGUAAAAGUACAAAUAUCUAAUACUUUAUACCCCAACAGAACUACAUCCAGGAAAAAAAAAAUAAAAGGAAUUAAACAAAAUGACCUCUUAUUAGCACCCUCAUUUUUACUUACUGCUAAACUUUUUCUCAUUUAUAUUUGAGUGUACCAGAAUUAUGUGAGCAAUGUGAUUUCUGACCAGCUACCCAUUUGGGGUACAGACAGUAGUGUCACUAACAUGAAUAUAAAAUACUCUGUGGUAUGACUGAACACUAUAGCAGCAGAGAUAAGAAGUUUGUUUAAAAAAGAAAAAGAGAGAUAAAAGGAAAGG
Molecule: long non-coding RNA, 8568 nt
Organism: Phasianus colchicus (ring-necked pheasant)
Lineage: Eukaryota; Metazoa; Chordata; Aves; Galliformes; Phasianidae
Source: RefSeq, a predicted model, not a curated record